GAUGAAGAACGUAGCGAAAUGCGAUAAGUAAUGCGAAUUGCAGAAUUCAGUGAGUCAUCGAAUCUUUGAACGCACAUUGCGCCCUGUGGUAUUCCGCAGGGCAUGCCUGUUCGAGCGUCAUUUCAACCCUCAAGCUCUGCUGGGUGUUGGGCCCUGCCCGCUGCGGCCGGCCCUAAAGACAGUGGCGGUGCCGCCUGGCCCUGAGCGUAGUACAUCUCUCGCUCCAGUGCCCGGUGGUAGCCUGCCAGAACCCCAACUCUCGUGGUUGACCUCGGAUCAGGUAGGGAUACCCGCUGAACUUAAGCAUAUCAAUAAGCGGAGGA
This 323-nucleotide unclassified non-coding RNA is filed under the name soil metagenome. RNAcentral's name for it is "partial contains 5.8S ribosomal RNA, internal transcribed spacer 2, and large subunit ribosomal RNA". The stretch from base 1 to 120 matches the Rfam family "5.8S ribosomal RNA", at positions 35 to 154 of the family's 154-position model. The record is from RNAcentral.